GGGCGAUUAGCUCAGCGGUAGAGCACUGCCUUCACACGGCAGGGGUCAGUGGUUCAAACCCACUAUCGCCCACCA
Molecule: transfer RNA, 75 nt
Filed under: Acidiferrobacter sp.
Lineage: Bacteria; Pseudomonadati; Pseudomonadota; Gammaproteobacteria; Acidiferrobacterales; Acidiferrobacteraceae
Also listed under: 2 other names
Description: tRNA-Val
Rfam family: tRNA
About the family: Transfer RNA (tRNA) molecules are approximately 80 nucleotides in length.
Source: RNAcentral